Saccostrea cuccullata (small rock oyster) is the source of this 390-nucleotide long non-coding RNA. RefSeq lists it as uncharacterized. Lineage: Eukaryota; Metazoa; Mollusca; Bivalvia; Ostreida; Ostreidae. The record is from RefSeq and is a predicted model, not a curated record. The transcript is spliced from 3 exons.
GAUAUGCAAUAUACAAAAUUGAGAUCAACUUUUUCAAAAGCUAUUUUGUUAGAGACAGCAUUUGUCUUUUUCAGGACUGAGAUGAAUUUGAGAGUCUGUUACGGAAUUUUUCUCGUUGAGAAACAGCUGAGAUAAGGUCUCAAGGCGAUGACCGGCGAUUUGUUAUGGAAGUAAGGAAGAGGUCUAGAGAGGGGGACAAGUACUUUUGUUUGUGAAGAGAUAACAUGUACAGCAUUUGUACGACGAAAUGCAUUGGAGGUAGAAAGGAAAUCUGGUAUUAACUAUAAUAUCCAUUUUUCUUCUAAAAAUUACAAGGAAACUGGGACAUAUCAAUUCAAUAAACUUAGUUUUGUCAACGAAGAAGCAGGGCUAGUGCAUUGAUUCAGAAAG